Molecule: ribosomal RNA, 258 nt
Filed under: uncultured bacterium
Lineage: Bacteria
Description: partial 16S ribosomal RNA
Rfam family: Bacterial small subunit ribosomal RNA
Source: RNAcentral
GUUACUGGCGUAAAGACGCAUGCAGGUGGUUUGUUUAAGUUACAGAUGUGAAAGACCCGGGGCCGUCAACCUACGGAACGUAGCAUUUGUAAACUAGGCAGACUAGAGUAUUGUAGAGGGGGGUAGGAAUUUCAGGUGUAGCGGUGAAAUAGCGUAGAGAUCUGAAGGAAUACCGGUGGCGAAGGCGGCCCCCUCGGACAGAUACUGACACUCAGAUGCGAAAGCGUGGGGAGCAAACAGGAUUAGAUACCCUGGUAG